This 1645-nucleotide ribosomal RNA is filed under the name Escherichia coli 6-537-08_S3_C2. RNAcentral describes it as "bacterial LSU rRNA". It matches the Rfam family "Bacterial large subunit ribosomal RNA", at positions 1300 to 2925 of the family's 2925-position model. Lineage: Bacteria; Pseudomonadati; Pseudomonadota; Gammaproteobacteria; Enterobacterales; Enterobacteriaceae. The record is from RNAcentral.
ACAUAAGUAACGAUAAAGCGGGUGAAAAGCCCGCUCGCCGGAAGACCAAGGGUUCCUGUCCAACGUUAAUCGGGGCAGGGUGAGUCGACCCCUAAGGCGAGGCCGAAAGGCGUAGUCGAUGGGAAACAGGUUAAUAUUCCUGUACUUGGUGUUACUGCGAAGGGGGGACGGAGAAGGCUAUGUUGGCCGGGCGACGGUUGUCCCGGUUUAAGCGUGUAGGCUGGUUUUCCAGGCAAAUCCGGAAAAUCAAGGCUGAGGCGUGAUGACGAGGCACUACGGUGCUGAAGCAACAAAUGCCCUGCUUCCAGGAAAAGCCUCUAAGCAUCAGGUAACAUCAAAUCGUACCCCAAACCGACACAGGUGGUCAGGUAGAGAAUACCAAGGCGCUUGAGAGAACUCGGGUGAAGGAACUAGGCAAAAUGGUGCCGUAACUUCGGGAGAAGGCACGCUGAUAUGUAGGUGAAGUCCCUCGCGGAUGGAGCUGAAAUCAGUCGAAGAUACCAGCUGGCUGCAACUGUUUAUUAAAAACACAGCACUGUGCAAACACGAAAGUGGACGUAUACGGUGUGACGCCUGCCCGGUGCCGGAAGGUUAAUUGAUGGGGUUAGCGCAAGCGAAGCUCUUGAUCGAAGCCCCGGUAAACGGCGGCCGUAACUAUAACGGUCCUAAGGUAGCGAAAUUCCUUGUCGGGUAAGUUCCGACCUGCACGAAUGGCGUAAUGAUGGCCAGGCUGUCUCCACCCGAGACUCAGUGAAAUUGAACUCGCUGUGAAGAUGCAGUGUACCCGCGGCAAGACGGAAAGACCCCGUGAACCUUUACUAUAGCUUGACACUGAACAUUGAGCCUUGAUGUGUAGGAUAGGUGGGAGGCUUUGAAGUGUGGACGCCAGUCUGCAUGGAGCCGACCUUGAAAUACCACCCUUUAAUGUUUGAUGUUCUAACGUGGACCCGUAAUCCGGGUUGCGGACAGUGUCUGGUGGGUAGUUUGACUGGGGCGGUCUCCUCCUAAAGAGUAACGGAGGAGCACGAAGGUUGGCUAAUCCUGGUCGGACAUCAGGAGGUUAGUGCAAUGGCAUAAGCCAGCUUGACUGCGAGCGUGACGGCGCGAGCAGGUGCGAAAGCAGGUCAUAGUGAUCCGGUGGUUCUGAAUGGAAGGGCCAUCGCUCAACGGAUAAAAGGUACUCCGGGGAUAACAGGCUGAUACCGCCCAAGAGUUCAUAUCGACGGCGGUGUUUGGCACCUCGAUGUCGGCUCAUCACAUCCUGGGGCUGAAGUAGGUCCCAAGGGUAUGGCUGUUCGCCAUUUAAAGUGGUACGCGAGCUGGGUUUAGAACGUCGUGAGACAGUUCGGUCCCUAUCUGCCGUGGGCGCUGGAGAACUGAGGGGGGCUGCUCCUAGUACGAGAGGACCGGAGUGGACGCAUCACUGGUGUUCGGGUUGUCAUGCCAAUGGCACUGCCCGGUAGCUAAAUGCGGAAGAGAUAAGUGCUGAAAGCAUCUAAGCACGAAACUUGCCCCGAGAUGAGUUCUCCCUGACUCCUUGAGAGUCCUGAAGGAACGUUGAAGACGACGACGUUGAUAGGCCGGAUGUGUAAGCGCAGCGAUGCGUUGAGCUAACCGGUACUAAUGAACCGUGAGGCUUAACCUU